Molecule: long non-coding RNA, 4829 nt
Organism: Passer montanus (Eurasian tree sparrow)
Lineage: Eukaryota; Metazoa; Chordata; Aves; Passeriformes; Passeridae
Exons: 4
Source: RefSeq, a predicted model, not a curated record
CUGCAGGGGACAAGGGAGAUAUUUCCUGGUGUUACAAGGCGGGUAUUUCACUUGCUUUUACCUUUUAAAAUGAAUUGGCUUAGCCCCGGAGGAAAUGGCUGCCUAGGGACGUGUUGGAGGCCAUCGCUGGCAUGGUGGUGGCCAGUCUUAAUUCUGGCUUAAUUCUGUGCGUAAGGAGGGGCAGUUGCAGUUAAGCUGCUGAGCAGCAAAUCUCUGCAAGGCACGGUUGGAGCUGUUGUCCGGACCCCAACUGCUUUAGACCCUGAUCUGGAUGCUGCAAGGACGUAAGCUGGAGGAUUUAAAUUCCCAGGAUCAAGCCUGGAAUCAUGGUUAGGUGUCUUUGGUCCAUCUCUUCCAAUUUCUGAUGCAAAGCAGGACAAAGGACACCAAUGUGACAUGUGGAUAAAAGAUGUUUAAAGACAUCCUCAGUGUCUGGCUGAGAACUUGCACAUGACUGCACGUAAGCCCAGCUCCCUAGGUCUUCCCAACCCUUCUGUUCUCCCAGGCAAGAUGCAGUCUGCUCUCGAAGCUGGAAAUGCUGCCUCUUCCCAUCUGUUGUGACAUUUGUCCAGCUUGACCCUGAUGGCUUUACCAUCACUCCUAGCGUUAAUCAUCACGUGCAGCAGCUUGCCAGAUGUUUUCAGGAGCAUGUCCCUGCAUCAUCCAGGUGUAUUCCCAAGGAGACAGUACCUCCACCGUGUUCUGCAUUAAUUCUGACCUCUCCUCUUGAAAGGAAGUUUCUUCCCUGUAGCCAGAGUACUUGACCUACUUGGUCAUCACCGGUGAGUUCUGGGGCACCCUGUGUCACAGGUACCUGAGACACAGCAACCAUAAAUGUACAAAGAGUAUGGCAAAAGGCUUAGGAAAGUCAAGCUUACGGAUCAAACCGAGAAACAAGAACACCUUUCUAUGCAGCUUUGUCCUCUCCUAACUCUUGACUAAGAAACAUGGUAAAUAAAAUAAUAAAACAGGUUAGCUGGAACCCAAAGGUGUUCUGGUGAAGGCUGUCAGCAUCCCAUCUGGGUCCAUCCAAGGAAUCCUGAUAUGGGGAAGGGUAACUCACACCACCGCGAGUCAUGCGGGAUGAGUGACAAAGUGCCUCCAGCAGGAGGGUGCUGGGUGGAAAACACAGGACCUUGACUGACUCGACAGACAAGUCAGACUCUUUCAGUGAUAGGAUCUAAAAGAGAUGGGAUCCAGGAAUCAGUGAAGGGAGGGUAACGCAAGGAAGAAGAUGUAGGCUACUUAGUGGUUAGGUUUCCUGAACCCACUGAAGCAAGUAAAGCACCAUCCCACACUCGUGUGGUCAGGUGCAAGGAAAGUGAUGUUCCCCACCCUCUCUGUGGAAACAUCUGCUAGGAUUCAUCAAGAAAUUUAGUGGGCCUGGUCAGAAUCCCAGAAUGGGUAAGGAUGGAAGAAACUACCACUGGAGUAAUCUGGUCUCAACCCCUCUCCUCAAGCAGAGUUAUCCCAAAGAUAUGGCACAGGAUUGCCUCCAGAUGGUUCUGGAAUAUCUGCAGUGAGGGAGACGCCACAACCUCUCUGGGGAAUCUGCUCCAGUGCUCAGACACCUGCACAGUAAAGAAGUCCUUCCUUUGUUCAGGUGCAACUUCCUCUGUUCCAGUUUUUGCCCAUUGUCUCAUGUCUUCUUGGCACCACCAAGAACAGGAGCCUGGCUCCUUCCUCUGACACCCAGCCUGCAGAUACUCAUAGACAUUGAUGAGGUCCCCUCUCAGACAUCUCUUAUCAAGCCUGAACAGGCCCAGCUCCCUCACCUUUCCUCAUGAGGCACUUCCUCACCUAAUAAUCUUCAUUCCCCUUUGCUAGACCUGCUCCAUGUCUCUCUUGCACUGCAGAUUCCCCUCACCAGGGCUGAGUGGAGCCUCACCUCCCUUGCUUUGCUGGCAAUGUGCUCCUCCUAAUGCAUCCCAGGACAACACUGGCUUCUUGGACACCAGGACGACCUGCUGGCUCAUGGGGAGCUUCUUGUCCACAUCCCCAGGUCUUUCUCUGAAGAGCUGCUCACCAGCAGGUCAGCCCCCAGCCUUUGCUGGUACACGGGGUUAUUUUUCCACACAUGUAGGGCCCUGCAUUUGCCUUUGCUGAAUUUCAGAAGGUUCCUCUCUGCCCAUCUCUCCAACCUGUCCCUCUGCAGGACACUGGAGUACUGGCCACUUUUCCCAGCUUGGUGCCAUCAAUAAACAUGAUGAGGAAGCAUCUACCCUUCAUCCAAGUCAUUGAUGAGUAAAAUAAGGAUGGGCCUGGUACUGAACCUUGUGGGACACCACUAGUGACAGGCCUUCAGCUAGACUCUGUGCCACUGACUGUGACCCUCUGGGAUCCGCUGUUCAGCCAGUUCCCAACCCACCUCACUGCCCACUCAUUCACUCCACACUUCCUAAGUUUGUCUAUGAGGAUCUUGUGAGAGAGAGUAUUGAAAGCCUUGCUGCAGUCGAGGUAGACAAUAUCCCCUGCUCUGCCCUCAACCCUCCAGGCGGUUGUCUCACGGUAGAAGGCAAUCAUGUUGGUCAGCCAUAAUUUGCAUUUAGUGAAGUCAAGCCCACUCUCCUGAUCACCUUCCUGCAUUCCACAUGCUUAGAGAUAACCUCCAGAAUGAAGAAUGAGGGGCUCCAUCAGUCUGGAUUGAGGUGAGGCUGACUGGUUUCCUGGGUCCUCCUUCUUGGCCUCUUUGAAGAGUGGGGAGACAUUUGCUUUCUUCCAGGCCUCAGGCCCCUCUCCUGAUGUCAGACCCUUCACAGAUGACUGCUAUGGUGUUCACCAGCUCCUCAGCACUGUGGAUGCAUCCCUACAAGGGCCAUGGAUUUGUGGAUAUCCCAUUUCCCUAGGUGAUCUCUAACCCAAUUCUCCCUGUCCAAGGGAGAAUCUUCCUUCCAGCAUUCCUGAGGGGUAAGAAGCUGAUGAACCAGUCUGCCUAAAUAUUCAGGGGGAAGACCUUAUUGCCAGCCCAGAGAUACAAUCCUAAAAGUUCUUAAAUGUUCAAGAGGUCAGCACUCAGCAGCCACAGUCCUGAGCUGAAUGCUGGCAGAGGGACUGCCCAGAUGCACCCUGCCAUGGAACCCCACUCAGUCUGUGCUCAGACUGCUCUUGGGUAUAAAACACUCACAUUAAUGCACCGACACUGAGCUAGACAGGACUCGAGAGUGCUUCCUGAGCUGGCACUGCCGAGAGGCGUCCUGGAACAGAGGUGACUCUAGGGACUCAAGAAGCAACGCCGCACUGCGCAGUUCCUGGACAUCGCAGUUCCCAGCAGGGUGUGUGGUGCAGAAGAGCAGGCUCGAUACUCCCCAAAGAAGGAAAAGGAGCCCACAGAGAAGAACUCAGUAGAUGGAGGGACCACAUCUCAUUUCAGCAUCAAAGAUGUGGGGUCACCACAGUUAGACAGGUAGGUGGCCCAGCUAACACCAGGGGCCUUGGGCGGUGCUUCCCAUACCGAGGAAUUGCUGAGGCAGAGGAUCCAUGCCGCAUAUCCUGCCAGGGAGAUCUUGGAGGCUGUCAGACUGGUGGGGGAACAGAGCCCCUUGCUGGUGAUACAAUGCACCAGGGAACAGCAUCUUGCACAUGUGGGUGGCAGAGAUUUUGGUUUCACUGCAAACAGAGUCCUGGCAGGCAGUGUGGGAGCAGGGUCGCCGCGUGUCCUGGGACAUGGGUGUCUGUCACCUGCUGCUCCCCUGGGCAAUGACUGCUCGAGGCAGAGAUGUCAGUCCUCCCGUGCUUCAUGCCUGAAAUCUCUCAGGGUGUGUACUCUGCAGUCUUGUGGGUUCCUUAAGCAGGACCAAGGCAAAGGUAUGCGUGUCCUGGAUUAUGCACGGGGGAAGCCAGAAGUCGUCAGCCACUCACAGAACUCUCCUCAGGAGAGAAAGAGAAGAAAACACUGCAAAGAUGCCUACAGGAAAGGGGAAUUGCAUGAAACUGAAGAUCCUCCAGACAGGAUAGGAAGUGAACCCUCAUCUACUGUGUGUGUGAGGCAUCAUCACUUGAAAGCAGAAAACUGAAAUAGUAAAAUAUUUCCUCUGGCUUCAGCUCUUUUAGGUAGAAAAAUAAAGAGGGAAGACAGGAAGAAAUGGAAACAGCUGAGCAAGGUGGCAUAGAGGUGAGGGCCAUGGCAGGCACUGAGGCACGCAGCUCCCAUCUACCCACAGACCCACAGGCAGCCAGGGCUUCUGCUGCUUCCCAGCACCCUGCUGCUCCCGUGAAACACUUUCCCAACUUCCUGCAAGAAGUGAAGACAGCAGUCAGGAGCUGCAGCAGACCACAGCCUGAGGAACUGCCAUUCCCCAGCACCAACAGCGCUCCACCUGCUCCCUUAUUUCCUGUUUCCUGCUCAAUUCUUCUGCCAUUUGCAGGGACUCGCCUCCCUGCCUGCUCCAACCAGCUCAGCCCCUGCUGAAAUGCCAACACACGCCUUAACAAUGGGGCAGGCACGGGCAGAGCACCUCACCCUGCCCGAACAUGGACACUGCUGUAGUGCAUGGAUGCCACAGCGCUCCCAGCUCAAGCACCCAGCAGCAUCAGCCAGCCAGGCCACAGCUACAGAGAGAAUCUUGCAUCCCUCAGCCCCCAUUUUAUCUUCCAUACCUAAUCUUAGUGAUGAUCCAAAAACUCUACUGCCAGGUACUUCCUCUUCCCUUCAGUACCUUUAGUGGGAAGCAUUUUUUCUCCAGAGCUUCACCUGCCUUGGCUGUGCAGGCUGUAUCCACUUCUCAGUGCCCACACUGCCUCUCUGGAUCACACUGCCUCUCUGGAGGCUGCUCGCUCCCUCCUGACACCCUGCAGGCCCCAGCCUCCAUCACCAUCACCAGAGGAGCAGG